CCCUUUGUUUAAUUGACCUUUUGUUGCUUCGGCGAGCCCGUCCUAUCCUGUUUACCGGGAAGGGACCGCCGGAGGACCGUCACACGUCCUCUGGUCCGCGCUCGUCGGUGGCCAUCUUUAAAUUCUUACAAAACGUGUCUUAUCUGAGUACAUUAUUAAAUUAAAGCAAAACUUUCAACAACGGAUCUCUUGGUUCUGGCAUCGAUGAAGAACGCAGCGAAAUGCGAUAAGUAAUGCGAAUUGCAGAAUUCCAGUGAGUCAUCGAAUCUUUGAACGCACAUUGCGCCCUUUGGCAUUCCGAAGGGCAUGCCUGUUCGAGCGUCAUUAUCACCUCUCAAGCCCCCCUGGGUUUGACGUUGGACGGUUUGGUGUCUGGCAACGGUCACCCCUCCCAAAGAUAAUGACGGCGGCCUCGUGGGACCCCCGGUACACUGAGUUCUUCACGGGACACGUACUGGAUCAAGGGUUGACGGGGCCCCGGUCUUUGUGACCUUUCCUCCUCGGAGGGAGGGCACACUUUUUUCAAGGUUGACCUCGGAUCAGGUAGGAAUACCCGCUGAACUUAAGCAUA
RNAcentral lists this ribosomal RNA (571 nucleotides) under Exophiala attenuata. Its description in RNAcentral is "eukaryotic LSU rRNA". The stretch from base 170 to 324 matches the Rfam family "5.8S ribosomal RNA". The record is from RNAcentral. Lineage: Eukaryota; Fungi; Ascomycota; Eurotiomycetes; Chaetothyriales; Herpotrichiellaceae.